RNAcentral lists this ribosomal RNA (460 nucleotides) under uncultured bacterium. RNAcentral's name for it is "partial 16S ribosomal RNA". It matches the Rfam family "Bacterial small subunit ribosomal RNA", at positions 338 to 795 of the family's 1533-position model. The record is from RNAcentral.
CCUACGGUGCGCAGCAGUGAGGAAUCUUGGUCAAUGGCCGAAAGUCUGAACCAGCCAUGCCGCGUGCAGGAAGACGGCUCUAUGAGUUGUAAACUGCUUUUGUACAAGGGUAAACCUGAAUACGUGUAUUCAGCUGAACGUACUGUACGAAUAAGGAUCGGCUCACUCCGUGCCAGCAGCAGCGGUAAUACGGAGGAUACAAGCGUUAUCCGGAUUUAUUGGGUUUAAAGGGUGCGUAGGCGGAUUGAUAAGUUAGAGGUGAAAUGUCCGGGAUCAACUCGGGAACUGCCUCUAAUACUGUUGAUCUAGAGAGUAGAUGCGGUAGGCGGAAUGUAUGGUGUAGCGGUGAAAUGCUUAGAGAUCAGACAGAACACCGAUUGCGAAGGCAGCUUACCAAUCUAUAUCUGACGUUGAGGCACGAAAGCGUGGGGAGCAAACAGGAUUAGAUACCCGUGUAGUC